CCCGGCCGGGGCGCGGGGCUGCGCGGAGAGAGGGUGCGGCUCCGGGAUCGGAGCGAAGCGAUUUGGCAGCGGGGUGCGGCUGCAGAGUCCGCGGGCACUGCGCGUCUUUUGUCCUCUUCCCACAUCAGCAAUUUUCAGCUGCGCUGCGUGUGGCAUUUCCUGCCACUGGGAGAAGGACGAUCUGAUCGUCCGCCACGAGGGAAAACGUUGUGACAAUUCGUGAUGUGUUUGCGAACUGCUCCCUUUGUUGCUGCCUAGUCUGGGUUUUAUUUCUUCUUUUUAACUCGUGCUGUGCCAGAGAUUUUUACUGCUUAUAUUAAGGGAAGGUCCGGGACUCCGCCCCACUCAGAGUUUGCUUCAGAAAUGGAGCUCUCUCACUUCGAGAUCUCAGAACUGCGAGGCGGGGCAGAGCGGAGCUGCGGCUCUCCGGUGCCGCCCAACGGAGGAAAGACGGAGCGGUCCCUGAUGCCCGGAAGACCCUGCGGCACACCCAGCUUCCAGCUGCUCACCCUUCCCCAUCCCCAUCUCCAUCCCCAUCCCUUCCCUGCCAGCUUGCAGCUUUGCAUGUACUGCAGGACGAAAUGCUCCACAGAGGCCAAAGGAGCAAUGAACCCAACUGUCUCCUCUGAAUUAGAGAAAAAUGUAUUUUCUUUCACUCUUCUAAAAGUUCAACUGUUCAGCCAAUUAUGAAUUGUUUUCUUUCAGAUACCAAACUCGCUUUUAACAAUAGCUUACCACCAAACCUGAGAUGCUUAACCUCAUUUACAGUAUGUAUUUUCUGGAACGUUAAACCCUAAAAGAAUUGAAAGUGUAUUCAGCAUCCAUUUCUCAGCUGUAACCCUCUGGCAAUGUUUAACAGUAUGAUGUAUCUUCCACAAACCAUGUUUUAAUAGCCACUGCUGGCCUCUCAUGGUUUAAAUGGACUUACAUUAAUGAGCAGCCAAAAAAGACUGGAGCACCCAUGAACAGAUGCAUCCCCCAAGGUGGGGGAAGGAACAGUGCUAUUCCUCUGAAGAGUCUUUAAAAGCCAUCAGAGAUUGGAUUUGCUUAAGAAAAACCCUGAGAGGACACUCCUCCAAGGACACAGUUUCGAGUAUGACUGCACAAAAGCAUCACUGUCUUCUCCAGCUCAUGUGAGCCAGUGCCAAUGUUGCGCAUUGACUUGAAUAAAGGCUUUGGAAAGCUCUA
Long non-coding RNA from Coturnix japonica (Japanese quail), 1188 nucleotides. RefSeq lists it as uncharacterized. The record is from RefSeq and is a predicted model, not a curated record. Lineage: Eukaryota; Metazoa; Chordata; Aves; Galliformes; Phasianidae.